This 465-nucleotide ribosomal RNA is filed under the name uncultured Klebsiella sp. Its description in RNAcentral is "bacterial SSU rRNA". It matches the Rfam family "Bacterial small subunit ribosomal RNA", at positions 338 to 795 of the family's 1533-position model. Lineage: Bacteria; Pseudomonadati; Pseudomonadota; Gammaproteobacteria; Enterobacterales; Enterobacteriaceae. The record is from RNAcentral.
CCUACGGGUGGCUGCAGUGGGGAAUAUUGCACAAUGGGCGCAAGCCUGAUGCAGCCAUGCCGCGUGUGUGAAGAAGGCCUUCGGGUUGUAAAGCACUUUCAGCGGGGAGGAAGGCGUUAAGGUUAAUAACCUUGUCGAUUGACGUUACCCGCAGAAGAAGCCCCGGCUAACUCCGUGCCAGCAGCCGCGGUAAUACGGAGGGUGCAAGCGUUAAUCGGAAUUACUGGGCGUAAAGCGCACGCAGGCGGUCUGUCAAGUCGGAUGUGAAAUCCCCGGGCUCAACCUGGGAACUGCAUUCGAAACUGGCAGGCUAGAGUCUUGUAGAGGGGGGUAGAAUUCCAGGUGUAGCGGUGAAAUGCGUAGAGAUCUGGAGGAAUACCGGUGGCGAAGGCGGCCCCCUGGACAAAGACUGACGCUCAGGUGCGAAAGCGUGGGGAGCAAACAGGAUUAGAUACCCCUGUAGUC